This is a long non-coding RNA of Hibiscus syriacus, 359 nucleotides long. RefSeq lists it as uncharacterized. Lineage: Eukaryota; Viridiplantae; Streptophyta; Magnoliopsida; Malvales; Malvaceae. The record is from RefSeq and is a predicted model, not a curated record. The transcript is spliced from 2 exons.
CCUUAAUCCUCUUCAGUUUCCCCUUUAUUAUCUAACAAAGAUAUACAUGGCUAAAGUCGCCACCUUUUUCAUCUUAACCCUUCUCCUCGUUUCUACUGUAUCCUUUGCCGCUCGCUUUGGCCCUGCUUCGCCUAGCCAGCCCCAAGCUGAGGUUAUGAUGGUGUUGAAGAUAGCUGUGAUGGAGUUGGAGAAGAUGAGUGUCUGAUGAGAAGAACUCUUGCCGCUCAUGUCGAUUAUAUCUAUACUCAGAAGCACAAGCCAUGAUAAUUUUUCUCUUGUUUUAAGUUUUAAACUAUGAAAUUAUUGUCCCUGUUAAUUAUUAUAUAUGAUAUAGUUAUAUAUCAUAUUCUUCUUGAUUA